GUACACUCCUACGGGAGGCAGCAGUGGGGAAUAUUGCACAAUGGGCGCAAGCCUGAUGCAGCCAUGCCGCGUGUAUGAAGAAGGCCUUCGGGUUGUAAAGUACUUUCAGCGGGGAGGAAGGCGAUAAGGUUAAUAACCUUGUCGAUUGACGUUACCCGCAGAAGAAGCACCGGCUAACUCCGUGCCAGCAGCCGCGGUAAUACGGAGGGUGCAAGCGUUAAUCGGAAUUACUGGGCGUAAAGCGCACGCAGGCGGUCUGUCAAGUCGGAUGUGAAAUCCCCGGGCUCAACCUGGGAACUGCAUUCGAAACUGGCAGGCUAGAGUCUUGUAGAGGGGGGUAGAAUUCCAGGUGUAGCGGUGAAAUGCGUAGAGAUCUGGAGGAAUACCGGUGGCGAAGGCGGCCCCCUGGACAAAGACUGACGCUCAGGUGCGAAAGCGUGGGGAGCAAACAGGAUUAGAUACCCCUGUAGUCCCAUGAU
Molecule: ribosomal RNA, 479 nt
Filed under: uncultured organism
Description: partial 16S ribosomal RNA
Rfam family: Bacterial small subunit ribosomal RNA
Source: RNAcentral